Long non-coding RNA from Leopardus geoffroyi (Geoffroy's cat), 693 nucleotides. RefSeq lists it as uncharacterized. Lineage: Eukaryota; Metazoa; Chordata; Mammalia; Carnivora; Felidae. The record is from RefSeq and is a predicted model, not a curated record. The transcript has 2 exons.
AUGCCUCUUGCCUCCGCAGCAGCCACCAGCCCUGCCUGGCUGUAUCACACUGCAACACAGGCUAAACGGCAUCCCACCUCAGGGCCUUUGCCCAUCCUCGUCUCGUGGAAGCUGGCUCCUCCUUGCUGCCAUCUCAGCCUGCUGGCCUUGCUGGAUGGACUGCUCGGCCUGGGCACCACGUGCAUCUCUCUCCAGCACAUGUGGUUCUUUAAUUUAUGUGUUAGCUUCCCUCUUACAUGAAUCAAACCCCUGAGAGCCGUCCCCUGGCCCGUCUUGUUCACAUGCUUCCCUGUGACAUGUAACAGGCACAGUGCACGGAACUGAUGGGAGAGGGAAGCGACCUGUCUCCUGCAGACCCCGGCCCAAGGGUGCCUUUUGAUUGUUGUUUUUGUUUGCUGCAGCAUAGGCAGGUGAGGAGAAGUCACUGAGGAGUGCUCCCCAUAGGAAAGGUGCCUGUGAAGGAGGCUGUGGACCCCAAACUCGGGUGAGGGCUGGAACUCCUGGGCCCUUGUCCCAGAACUCCAGCCCCCUAGGCUGGCUGUCCCCCAUUCCAACAGCAGCAUGUGGAAGCCUUAUAGGUAUUGCACACUGGAUGGACCCUUGAGGUACCAUACCUGCUCCUGCCCUGGGCUUCCCGUAUGACCCGAGACAACACUGCCCACCAGUUGCUCAAAUAAAAAUCUCCAGAUCACA